RNAcentral lists this transfer RNA (77 nucleotides) under compost metagenome. RNAcentral's name for it is "tRNA-Thr". The record is from RNAcentral.
GUUCGCCACCAGCAGGGCCGUGGUGCUCUUGCCGUUGGUGCCGGUGAUGCCCACCAGUUGCAGCUGGCUGGCGGGUU